UCCGUAGGUGAACCUGCGGAAGGAUCAUUACCGAGUGAGGGCCCUCUGGGUCCAACCUCCCACCCGUGUUUAUUUUUCCUUGUUGCUUCGGCGGGCCCGCCUUAACUGGCCGCCGGGGGGCUCACGCUCCCGGGCCCGCGCCCGCCGAAGACACCCUCGAACUCUGUCUGAAGAUUGUAGUCUGAGUGAAAAUAUAAAUUAUUUAAAACUUUCAACAACGGAUCUCUUGGUUCCGGCAUCGAUGAAGAACGCAGCGAAAUGCGAUACGUAAUGUGAAUUGCAAAUUCAGUGAAUCAUCGAGUCUUUGAACGCACAUUGCGCCCCCUGGUAUUCCGGGGGGCAUGCCUGUCCGAGCGUCAUUGCUGCCCUCAAGCACGGCUUGUGUGUUGGGCCCCGUCCUCCGAUCCCGGGGGACGGGCCCGAAAGGCAGCGGCGGCACCGCGUCCGGUCCUCGAGCGUAUGGGGCUUUGUCACCCGCUCUGUAGGCCCGGCCGGCGCUUGCCGAUCAACCCAAAUUUUUAUCCAGGUUGACCUCGGAUCAGGUAG
This 546-nucleotide ribosomal RNA is filed under the name Penicillium aethiopicum. RNAcentral's name for it is "eukaryotic LSU rRNA". The stretch from base 207 to 359 matches the Rfam family "5.8S ribosomal RNA". The record is from RNAcentral. Lineage: Eukaryota; Fungi; Ascomycota; Eurotiomycetes; Eurotiales; Aspergillaceae.